AUUAGCUUCAACUUCAGUCACUUUGUGUGCAAUUCCUUUGAAACCUUGUUGUAUGGUGGCCUGUUUAUAGCUGAAUUCUUAAUGGGCCUCAUCAGUUCAUGCAAUCAUCGGAAGCCACUCCUGUUCAUCCCAAUCCAGUCUGCUAAAUUUCAAAGAAUGGUACAUUCUUAAAGCAAUGCUGGGGAGAGAGUUUAUCAUUCACCUGAAUCAAAA
Non-coding RNA from Pelobates cultripes (western spadefoot toad), 213 nucleotides. The record is from the annotation of a GenBank genome assembly. Lineage: Eukaryota; Metazoa; Chordata; Amphibia; Anura; Pelobatidae.